Molecule: ribosomal RNA, 723 nt
Filed under: Fusarium sp. ES191
Lineage: Eukaryota; Fungi; Ascomycota; Sordariomycetes; Hypocreales; Nectriaceae
Description: LSU rRNA
Rfam family: Eukaryotic large subunit ribosomal RNA
Source: RNAcentral
GAGUGAAGCGGCAACAGCUCAAAUUUGAAAUCUGGGCCCGAGUUGUAAUUUGUAGAGGAUACUUUUGAUGCGGUCCUUCCGAGUUCCCUGGAACGGGACGCCAUAGAGGGUGAGAGCCCCGUCUGGUUGGAUGCCAUCUCUGUAAAGUUCCUUCAACGAGUCGAGUAGUUUGGGAAUGCUGCUCUAAAUGGGAGGUAUAUGUCUUCUAAAGCUAAAUACCGGCCAGAGACCGAUAGCGCACAAGUAGAGUGAUCGAAAGAUGAAAAGCACUUUGAAAAGAGAGUUAAAAAGUACGUGAAAUUGUUGAAAGGGAAGCGUUUAUGACCAGACUUGGGCUUGGAAUCAUCUGGGGUUCUCCCCAGUGCACUUUCCAGUCAGGCCAGCAUCAGUUUUCCCCGGGGGAUAAGGCGGCGGGAAUGUGGCUCUGGGAGUGUUAUAGCCCACCGUAUACCCUGGGGGGGACUGAGGUUCGCGCAUCUGCAAGGAUGCUGGCGUAAUGGUCAUCAACGACCCGUCUUGAAACACGGACCAAGGAGUCGUCUUCGUAUGCGAGUGUUCGGGUGUCAAACCCCUACGCGUAAUGAAAGUGAACGCAGGUGAGAGCGGCGCAUCAUCGACCGAUCCUGAUGUUCUCGGAUGGAUUUGAGUAAGAGCAUACGGGGCCGGACCCGAAAGAAGGUGAACUAUGCCUGUAUAGGGUGAAGCCAGAGAAACUCUGGUGGA